RNAcentral lists this ribosomal RNA (497 nucleotides) under uncultured bacterium. RNAcentral describes it as "partial 16S ribosomal RNA". It matches the Rfam family "Bacterial small subunit ribosomal RNA", at positions 28 to 507 of the family's 1533-position model. The record is from RNAcentral.
GAUGAACGCUGGCGGCGUGCCUAAUACAUGCAAGUCGAGCGAACGGACGAGAAGCUUGCUUCUCUGAUGUUAGCGGCGGACGGGUGAGUAACACGUGGAUAACCUACCUAUAAGACUGGGAUAACUUCGGGAAACCGGAGCUAAUACCGGAUAAUAUUUUGAACCGCAUGGUUCAAAAGUGAAAGACGGUCUUGCUGUCACUUAUAGAUGGAUCCGCGCUGCAUUAGCUAGUUGGUAAGGUAACGGCUUACCAAGGCAACGAUGCAUAGCCGACCUGAGAGGGUGAUCGGCCACACUGGAACUGAGACACGGUCCAGACUCCUACGGGAGGCAGCAGUAGGGAAUCUUCCGCAAUGGGCGAAAGCCUGACGGAGCAACGCCGCGUGAGUGAUGAAGGUCUUCGGGUCGUAAAACUCUGUUGUUAGGGAAGAACAUAUGUGUAAGUAACUGUGCACAUCUUGACGGUACCUAAUCAGAAAGCCACGGCUAACUACGUG